RNAcentral lists this long non-coding RNA (701 nucleotides) under Monodelphis domestica (gray short-tailed opossum). Its description in RNAcentral is "lncRNA (ENSMODG00000040777.1)". Lineage: Eukaryota; Metazoa; Chordata; Mammalia; Didelphimorphia; Didelphidae. The record is from RNAcentral.
CCUCUCUUGUUGCAGAUAAGUGCCUGUUCUCCAUCCAAGAAUCUUAAAGUUGCCCAGUCCCUUUUCAAGAUAAGUGACUUGCCUAGGAUCCCACAGCCAGCGCUGUAACAGGGGAAAGUAUGGUCAUUUAACACAACAGAAGAGUUCCAAGCAUUCAUAAAUAAAAGACCAGACCUGAACAGAAAAUUUGAUGUCCAACCACAAAACUCAAGAGAAUCAUCAAAAGUCAUCAAUGACAAGAAAGAUGAUUUGGAAUGACUAGCAACGGCCCAGGAUACAAUGGAUGACCUUGGAGCUCUAUAGCACCUGUUUCAGCAACCUUUGUGGAUGUUUCAACAAAUUAUUUUCACCCUUCCAUUCCAUUGGGGGAUGUUUUCCCAUGCUUUGGAUAAACAUUGCUACAAUCACCAACAGGUUUAGCCCAUGGGUGUGCAUGCUAAACCUUCUUGGGGCCACAGUUUAACAUUUUGGACACUGAGAUUGGAAGUUGUAGCUGCCUGAGUCACCAGCUAAAGGACUCCAGAUGUGAAGUACCUACAGAACCCACUUAGGGUCAAGUCAGGAGGUCAGUUAGCAGUGUGGCUAGGUAAUCUGAAACUUUCAGAAAAAGGACUUGAUCUCAUGUAUUUAGGAACGUGACCCACUCUUUAAUCAGGAGGUAAAAAGAGCAUCAUAGUUAUACAGAGGGGACUACCAGACCC